GGUAAACAAAGAGCGGAGAGGCGUCGGCGCGUCACGUGGUGGCGGUGUGGUGUGCAUGCGCUGUGCUUCAUCACUGAGACUUUUGACUGUCGGUUAGCUGCUUUUCCCCAGUUUGGCCAAUUUCCAUUGCUUGUUAGGCCAUAAUGAGCAACUUCCAAAGCAAUAUAUAUGAAAGUCUGAGGAAAACAUCCUUGCACCUGGUAAAGUGCAAAGAACAUCUGCCUUGGUGGUGACAAACUGGAAACACUGGGACUGUGCCUGGCCAAUUUCAUAUUUCACAGAUGAGGUGCUCGUGUGGGAACAGUGAAGGCAGGCUGCUCCAAAAGGGUGGUGAGCUGGGUGUGGAGCCGUGUGGAAACGAACGAAGCCACUAAGGAAGAACAUGUCAAGAUGAGAAAAAAUAAAUGGACAGCAGAAACUGGUGUAAUCUCAGGGCCAAAAUCUCUUACUCCAAGUUUUGAAAUGAGUAUUGGUAGAAGUUGGCUCCUUUUGAAAUCUGAGAAAUUAAAUUCAAAUCAUUUAAAUGAAAUGGGCAGUCUGUAACAUAAACUGGGAGCUUAAUACAAAUGAAACCACCAUAACGUGUUGUGUCUCAUCUAAACACAUUAUUAUUCUCAAAGGCCUCUAUAAACAUUAAUAACUGAAUGAUGUUUUAACCUCUGAUUCACAAACAGAGGAUAAAAUUAAAAAUGGAAAAGGAUUAUACUUUUUUCUAAAUUGCAUUUUACUUGUGAGUUUGAUAGGGGGACAAUUGGCCUAGCAUAAACAGUAUCAUAUUUGUCGUGGCUUUUAAAGUGCAUCCAAUUAUAUUUUGAGUGAUAAACUAAUGCUGCUAACCAGGUUAGUGCAGCCCAGCUGGGCCCUGGAAUGUUUUAGUGAACACUGCUUGCUUAAUCCAAUAAUCUCUAAUCCAUAGCGUGGGAGAAAUGUUUCCAUCAGGAAGCUGAAGUAGUAAAUGUAUCAUGUCGUUUAGAAGAUUAUAGCCAGGCCUGCCUCUGCAGUCUGGUCUCAGAAGGACACUCUGUACCAAUUAUGUCCAGCUCUCUGCUAGGCUGAGACCAAAUCUCAGGAUAUUUGCAGCAGAGUGCUGUUCUGUCACCUCGGCACUGGGGUCGGAUUAAUUCCCCUUUUGUCACGCUAGUGUUAAUAACUUCUUACUUACGUCAGUAAAUGGUAACUGUUGUCCCUUGUCUUUUGCAAUUCACAAAGCAAGACUGGAAUAAAAGUUCUGAAUCUAA
Long non-coding RNA from Gallus gallus (chicken), 1238 nucleotides. RefSeq lists it as uncharacterized. The transcript is spliced from 3 exons. NCBI's taxonomy places the organism in Eukaryota, Metazoa, Chordata, Aves, Galliformes, Phasianidae. The record is from RefSeq and is a predicted model, not a curated record.